UACGGAGGAUCCGAGCGUUAUCCGGAUUUAUUGGGUUUAAAGGGUGCGUAGGCGGACGUUUAAGUCAGUGGUGAAAGUUUGCAGCUCAACUGUAAAAUUGCCAUUGAAACUGAAUGUCUUGAGUGCAAAUGAGGUAGGCGGAAUGUGUUGUGUAGCGGUGAAAUGCAUAGAUAUAACACAGAACACCGAUUGCGAAGGCAGCUUACUGGGAUGCAACUGACGCUGAGGCACGAAAGCGUGGGGAUCAAAC
This 250-nucleotide ribosomal RNA is filed under the name uncultured bacterium. RNAcentral describes it as "partial 16S ribosomal RNA". It matches the Rfam family "Bacterial small subunit ribosomal RNA", at positions 524 to 773 of the family's 1533-position model. The record is from RNAcentral.